This 253-nucleotide ribosomal RNA is filed under the name uncultured bacterium. RNAcentral's name for it is "partial 16S ribosomal RNA". It matches the Rfam family "Bacterial small subunit ribosomal RNA", at positions 524 to 776 of the family's 1533-position model. The record is from RNAcentral.
UACGGGGGGGGCAAGCGUUGUUCGGAAUUACUGGGCGUAAAGGGCUCGUAGGCGGCCAACUAAGUCGGACGUGAAAUCCCCAGGCUCAACCUGGGAACUGCGUCCGAUACUGGAUGGCUUGAAUUCGGGAGAGGGAUGCAGAAUUCCAGGUGUAGCGGUGAAAUGCGUAGAUAUCUGGAGGAAUACCGGUGGCGAAGGCGGCAUUCUGGACCGACAUUGACGCUGAGGAGCGAAAGCUAGGGGAGCAAACGGG